This 56-nucleotide non-coding RNA is filed under the name unclassified sequences. Its description in RNAcentral is "Li+-I sequence". It matches the Rfam family "nhaA-I RNA". From Rfam's summary of the family: Acidobacteria, Alphaproteobacteria, Betaproteobacteria and Gammaproteobacteria, Verrucomicrobia, cand. division NC10. Downstream gene The record is from Rfam by way of RNAcentral.
GGGUGUUGGCUGCAUACCGCAGUGGAACAGGUUCAUGCGCAGGUCGGGCCGCCGCG